Molecule: long non-coding RNA, 1894 nt
Organism: Chenopodium quinoa (quinoa)
Lineage: Eukaryota; Viridiplantae; Streptophyta; Magnoliopsida; Caryophyllales; Amaranthaceae
Exons: 3
Source: RefSeq, a predicted model, not a curated record
AUGAUAGUGGAAAGUCUUGUUCCUCUGAAGAGGUAUAUGUAGCCACAUUGAAUUUUUUGUGUGUAGCCUUUUAUGUUUAUCUUGAAUAAUGUAUGUUGCUUGAGAAUGAUUACUGUAAUUGCUUUUCAUGUCUGCUACAUGUUUAUAUAUAUUUAAAUUGUUAGCUGACUUAAUCCUGGUGUAUUGUUGAUAACUAAUUGUCAUUGAGAUUGGUUUCUAAUUUAGCAAUAUUUAAGCAGACUAGAUAGAUCUCCACAAUUUCAAAUUAUUCCUUAUUAUGUCUAUUUGUGUAACCAUAGAUUAGGUCCUAGGAGUUAAGAUUGUAAAGUUAUUAUGUUAUUAUUGAUUAAUCUGCAGCACACCCAAAAAAUUAUUGUCAACUCUGAUCCAAUGGUUUGGUUUAGUAGGAUAAUAGGAAGUAGGAAUUAUUUGUGGAUCUGAGUGUUAAGUGUUCAUCUUCUUGAAGUUGGCCCUUCACAGCUGUCUACUCUAGGCUAUAUCCAGCUUUCUAUUUUAAAUUAGGCAUCAUUUAAAGUUUGCCGACAUGUUGCUGAUAAAAGUUUUUACUUUUCAUGAAUGAAUGUUUUCGGAUACAUUAACCUGCACUAUGGUAGUUUAAUAUAGGUUCUUGAUAUUAAUAACAAACAGGAAAUAUGAGUUAAGGGACAUUCUUAGCUAAUUGGUGUAGACAUAUACAUUGUUGAUGUCUUAGAGGCCAUGCUUGCUAGUUGCUAUACAAGUUGCUCGACGGGUAUGAGUUCAAGGAUGGGUGGAAAGAGUAUGUGCAGAGUUAUGAGAGAAAAGGUUAGGUAUGUUGGUGAUGGUUUUGGAUUUAUGCAUUAGCAAUGAAGAAGAUGUCCUAGUUGAAUAAAAGUUUAAGUUUAUUUUUGUUAGGGAACCGAGUAUAAGGAUUCAAUUUAUGAUGCUACUCCUGCUUUUGAAUCUUAUGGAGUUUGUCAUGGAUCUGAAGUAUUAAUAGGAGAGCCAUUGAACUUGAAUCUGUUGCUGGUGCUUACUGGAGAGGAGAUGUAAACAGGCCAGUGCAACAAAGGAUUUAUGGCACAGCAUGGGAAAAUGAAGAACAUCUGAAAGCUUACCUUCAUUUCAAAGCAGAAGCUCUACGGCGGGAUCACUGACGUCUUAGCCAAGAACUUGACCUGUUUUCCAUAGAGGAAGAAGCUUUGACCAUGAUGGAUACAAGCAAAUCGUUCAAAAUCCUGCCAGGCUAAGCAUUUCCUUUGGGAGCUUCAGAAGUGGAGAAUGGAAUAAAUUUUGCAAUUUUCUCACAACAUGCAAGCUCAGUAACUCUUUGCUUAUUGCUUCCUCCCACCGGCUGGUGAUUAUGCAUCUCUUUUAUCGUUAUUGUUAUAUUGAUUAUGUGUGCCUUACAUAACUUGUAUAGCUUGGUUUUUAACUGUCCUCCUUGAUUGUGUUAAAAUCUGCAAACCAAAGGGUUGAGGUACUGUGAUAUACUGUAAUUAUAUUUCUUUUAGUUUAAUUAUAUUUCUUUUAUUUUUUUCAAUUUUACGUAGUGUAGGUGCAUGGGGAGUCAAAUGGAGCGGAAGUAUAGUGACUAGCCAUCUAACAAAUGGUGCAUAUAUGUUGGCGACUCUCAUUCAAGUUCUGGCUUUGUGAAGAUUUGGAUAUUUCGGCUUAUAUAUAUGUUGACAAUUUGUAUUUUGGACGAUCAAAUUAAUUAUGUAACUUUUAUUUAUUAUUAGUAGGGUAUGUCAUUCCAAAAAUAGGCAAGUAAUAUUUUGUAAUGUACGUAUUUUGCAUUAUAAUUAUUAUAUAUAAAUGAUACUUUAAUUUGUUUAUGUUAGUAUAUUUAGAUUUGUACUGACUAAUUAAUAUUAUAUUACCAUUCCAUCCCAACAAAAAAAAAAAAAAAAAA